Molecule: long non-coding RNA, 921 nt
Organism: Trachemys scripta elegans
Lineage: Eukaryota; Metazoa; Chordata; Testudines; Emydidae
Exons: 3
Source: RefSeq, a predicted model, not a curated record
UUGUUCAACUGCCCUGUGCAUCAUGGAAGUCCAUCGGGGAGCCGGACCCAGAAAGGAGAUUCGUAGCAUGAGGCAUUGCCAUAGCUCAGGUAGACAGAUUAAUGUUUCAUCAAGCCAAAAAAUAUUUUGAUUUCACAAUAUGAAAAGAAACAUUUUGAAUCAGGAGUGAUGAAAAGUUUUUAGUUUUGAAUGAAAAUAUCGAAAUGAAAUGCUUUGACAUUUUUGAGCUAUGGAGCUUCCCAUUGCGUGAAUAAUUUUAAUAUUUCAACUCUUCUUCCUGAUUUAGGACAAACACAUUUUGAUAAUCAGAAUGUUCUAUGGGAUGAAAAUUCAGAUUCUUGAUGGAUUCUUGUGUUCCAUGAGCUAUUUCUGGGGCAAUAUCUGGACUCCUUCAUGAGAAGUGUUCUAACUUCAGAAUCAUUGUGUUAGAUAAGUGAUUUCCUAAUGUGAAUAAAGAACAGGAGUACUUGUGGCACCUUAGAGACUAACAAAUUUAUUAGAGCAUAAGCUUUCGUGGACUACAGCCCACUUCUUCGGAUGCAUAUAUGUGAAUGUAUCUUUCUUUGAUUGGAAGAGACAAAACAAACUUUCCAACUUUCUAAAUUCCCAGUCAAUUUCUCAAGUCGGAACUAGUACAAAAGAAGAAAUUGUUCUCUGCACUUGGUAGCUAAACUGAAACCAAAGUACGGUAAUUAAGGCAAAAGCUUUUGCCCACAACAGGAACUGAAAGCACAUCUAUGUGGAAAAAUGUAAAUUCCAGCAUUCACUCAAUUGUACCGAAAGAAAAGAAUAUAGAUAUUUCCUUAAUGCAGUACAUGACAUUGUAACAUAUUUAUAAAACUUGAUUUGACCUUGAAUUCUGUAUAUAACUAAAAAAGCGUCAUUUUUUUAACUUAUUCAGAUUUUAGGAGGGUUCAUUGA